Molecule: non-coding RNA, 202 nt
Organism: Pelobates cultripes (western spadefoot toad)
Lineage: Eukaryota; Metazoa; Chordata; Amphibia; Anura; Pelobatidae
Source: the annotation of a GenBank genome assembly
CAGAGAUGGUAACAUGCAAUAAAGUGUGUGUUACAUUGAUAUUAAAUAAGCUAGUCUUCGAAAAACGUUUAAUUAAAUCGGAUUCAGAUGCUUUAAUGCAGCGAUAUCUAAGAAUUGCAUUAGAAUAUGCAAAUAAAGCAUUUAGAUGUUGCGCCUUUUUCAAAGAAGCUCUAAUUUUCUGCCUGCAAAAGCAAUAUCAAAU